RNAcentral lists this ribosomal RNA (500 nucleotides) under uncultured bacterium. RNAcentral's name for it is "partial 16S ribosomal RNA". It matches the Rfam family "Bacterial small subunit ribosomal RNA", at positions 30 to 523 of the family's 1533-position model. The record is from RNAcentral.
AUUGAACGCUGGCGGCAGGCCUAACACAUGCAAGUCGAGCGGAUGAAGAGAGCUUGCUCUCUGAUUCAGCGGCGGACGGGUGAGUAAUGCCUAGGAAUCUGCCUGGUAGUGGGGGACAACGUCUCGAAAGGGACGCUAAUACCGCAUACGUCCUACGGGAGAAAGCAGGGGACCUUCGGGCCUUGCGCUAUCAGAUGAGCCUAGGUCGGAUUAGCUAGUUGGUGGGGUAACGGCUCACCAAGGCGACGAUCCGUAACUGGUCUGAGAGGAUGGUCAGUCACACUGGAACUGAGACACGGACCAGACUCCUACGGGGGGCAGCAGUGGGGAAUAUUGGACAAUGGGCGAAAGCCUGAUCCAGCCACGGCGCGUGUGUGAAGAAGGGCUUCGGAUUGUAAAGCACUUUAAGUUGGGAGGAAGGGCAGGAAAUUAAUACUUUGCUGUUUUGACGUUACCGACAGAAUAAGCACCGGCUAACUCUGUGCCAGCCGCCGCGGUAA